This 254-nucleotide ribosomal RNA is filed under the name uncultured bacterium. Its description in RNAcentral is "partial 16S ribosomal RNA". It matches the Rfam family "Bacterial small subunit ribosomal RNA", at positions 524 to 776 of the family's 1533-position model. The record is from RNAcentral.
UACGGGGGGAGCAAGCGUUGUUCGGAUUUACUGGGCGUAAAGGGCGCGUAGGCGGUCGUGACAAGUCACUUGUGAAAUCUCCGGGCUUAACUCGGAACGGUCAAGUGAUACUGUCGGACUAGAGUACAGAAGGGGCAACUGGAAUUCUCGGUGUAGCGGUGAAAUGCGCAGAUAUCGGGAGGAACACCAAUGGCGAAGGCAGCUUGCUGGGACGGUACUGACGCUGAGGCGCGAAAGCCAGGGGAGCGAACGGG